AAAAAAACUUGAAAGGGGAGAAAAAGAUGAUUGACAGGAGAAAGAAGCCGAGGACGUUUGAUUUGAGUAUGAAUUAGGACAAUUUUACUAGACAAAAAGGGGCAGACAUAUUGGGCGUAUGAUGGUUCAUUACCCCAUAUGAGUGGGUACAUGCCUACACAAGUCAGGCCGUGGCAGAUGCACACCAGCACUGCAACCCAAGCGCCCUUAACAGCAAAUUCCACAUGGGAUUAAACUUAUUAGUAUAAAGCAAGAAGGCCCAAUAGCAAUUUUGACAGGGUUUUAUGUAGAUGGAUGGGCUUCAAGGUACCUUAACAGCCUUCAAUUCUGCGCUUGCAUGGCCUGGCUUGCUACUUUUGCUUUCAUAAGCACAAAUACGAUCCCAUUUAAGGAAUUUUUCAUUUUUAACGCAAACAACUUGCACGUGG
Molecule: unclassified non-coding RNA, 428 nt
Filed under: Hevea brasiliensis (rubber tree)
Lineage: Eukaryota; Viridiplantae; Streptophyta; Magnoliopsida; Malpighiales; Euphorbiaceae
Source: RNAcentral